Molecule: long non-coding RNA, 381 nt
Organism: Perca flavescens (yellow perch)
Lineage: Eukaryota; Metazoa; Chordata; Actinopteri; Perciformes; Percidae
Exons: 3
Source: RefSeq, a predicted model, not a curated record
CGUAGGAAGGAAGCAGGAACGUAAGACGGAUCCAGGAACGUCAAACAACAACAAUUUGACGGCGAAGAGGUUGAGGCUCACGAAAGUGACAGACGUCGCAUCAUAGACACAGAUAAAGUGCACGGAGUUUUUGUCGAUAUACGGUGUUUUUUCAACUGUUCUGUCGUCUUACAAGCUGUCAACUUAUCAAACGAGAUAAUGAAGAAGACAACCAACUUCUUUCCCGGAAAGACUAUGGUGUCUUUCAGGAAGGGUCCAUCAGGUCAUCUGCGGCAGGAUCCCUCUGACGAGGCCAUGCGGAUCAAAAAGAACCCUUCUCUUCAGGACAAGUCUCCCCCUCAGAGACAUGACCUUGUGAAGACCAAUGCUCUCACUGUGGUC